GCGGAAAUAGCUUAAUGGUAGAGCACAGCCUUGCCAAGGCUGAGGUUGAGGGUUCGAGUCCCUCCUUCCGCU
This 72-nucleotide transfer RNA is filed under the name Plantago ovata (blond plantain). RNAcentral describes it as "tRNA-Gly". It matches the Rfam family "tRNA". From Rfam's summary of the family: Transfer RNA (tRNA) molecules are approximately 80 nucleotides in length. Their secondary structure includes four short double-helical elements and three loops (D, anti-codon, and T loops). Lineage: Eukaryota; Viridiplantae; Streptophyta; Magnoliopsida; Lamiales; Plantaginaceae. The record is from RNAcentral.